AUUCUCAGGUUCAUAAGUGUGAUGACUGGGUGCUCAUGCUCCAUGCAUGACCUGUGCCUCCUUUGAACCUUGUUACGACCUUGGCACAUUACCCAUCUGACA
Small nucleolar RNA from Cavia porcellus (domestic guinea pig), 102 nucleotides. It matches the Rfam family "Small nucleolar RNA U13". NCBI's taxonomy places the organism in Eukaryota, Metazoa, Chordata, Mammalia, Rodentia, Caviidae. The record is from Rfam.